Molecule: ribosomal RNA, 254 nt
Filed under: uncultured bacterium
Lineage: Bacteria
Description: partial 16S ribosomal RNA
Rfam family: Bacterial small subunit ribosomal RNA
Source: RNAcentral
UACGUAGGGGGCAAGCGUUGUCCGGAUUUAUUGGGCGUAAAGAGCUCGUAGGCGGUUCGGCAAGUCGGAUGUGAAAUCUCCACGCUUAACGUGGAGGGGCCAUUCGAAACUGCUGUGACUCGAGUCCGGUAGGGGAGUGUGGAAUUCCCGGUGUAGCGGUGAAAUGCGCAGAUAUCGGGAGGAACACCAGUAGCGAAGGCGACUAUCUGGGCUUUAACUGACGCUGAGGCGCGAAGGCCGGGGGAGCAAACAGG